CCCUACAAAAAACUGAACUGGAAUACGA
This 28-nucleotide small RNA is filed under the name Bombyx mori (domestic silkworm). RNAcentral describes it as "ovarian small RNA-13715". Lineage: Eukaryota; Metazoa; Arthropoda; Insecta; Lepidoptera; Bombycidae. The record is from RNAcentral.